This 621-nucleotide ribosomal RNA is filed under the name Agrobacterium pusense. RNAcentral's name for it is "Rhizobium pusense partial 16S ribosomal RNA". It matches the Rfam family "Bacterial small subunit ribosomal RNA", at positions 753 to 1369 of the family's 1533-position model. The record is from RNAcentral. Lineage: Bacteria; Pseudomonadati; Pseudomonadota; Alphaproteobacteria; Hyphomicrobiales; Rhizobiaceae.
GGGAAAGGGGGGGGGGCAAACAAGGAAUAGAUACCCUGGUUGUCCACGCCGUAAAAGAAGAAAAUUUGCCGUUGGGCAGUAUAGUGUUCGGUGGGGCAGAUAAAGCAUUAAACAUUCCGCCCGGGGAGUACGGUGGCACGAUUAUAAAACAAAAGAAAUUAGGGGGGGCCCCACCAACGGUGGAGCGUGUGGUUUUUUUUUAAGCAAAGCGCAAAACCCUUUCCCCUCCUUACAUUUGGGGUAAGGUCUUCGGAGAUGAUUUCUUUCAUUUGGGAAGUCCCCAAAACAGGUGCCGCAGGGGUGUCCUCAUCUUGUGUUGUGAGAUGGGGUUAAAUCUCCCACAAAGAGCACCCCCCUCCCCUUUAUUCCCCCACAUUUAGUUGGGCACUUUAAGGGGACUGCCGGUGAUAAACCGAGGGAAGGGGGGGGAGGAGUUAAAUUCCUCAUGCCCUUUAGGCGUGGGGUUACACACUUGUUAAAAGGGUGGUAACAGGGGUCAGCGAGACAGGGGGUUGGACUAAUUUUCCAAAAGCCAUCUCAGUUCGGAUUGCAUUCUGCAACUCGAUUGCAUGAAGUUGGAAUCGCUAGUAAUCGCAGAAUCAGCAAUGUUGCGGUGAAUAC